UGUCACACCAUCUUUGAGCUACUGUUGCAUCGUUCAUCUUUGUGGUCAGGUUUUCAUCAGCAGUCAUUUGAAGACUUCAGCUGGAAGGAAUUAGUGUUGGGUCUGUGUUGAACUCAUGGUUUCUCGGAAAGCCCUGUGUUAUUAUAAUAGGUUUAAGUGGAUCACUGCUCCUUAUAAAGGCUCAUCGCUUUGUCUCUGAGUCACUUUGGUGUAGCUACUAGUCUUGUGUCGUCGUAAAAGCCAGUCAUAGAAUUAGACUACAGAGUUGGAGAGUGACAUGUGCAGCCCAAUGCCUCAGCCUAUUUGUUUGGUGGAAAAUGUAAAUGGUUCACUGUGUGUGAGUGACCGAGCCAUUGAGUACCUGCUCAAGAAUAAUCAGCCAGUGGUAGUAGUAGCUGUGGUGGGGCUCUAUCGCACAGGGAAGUCUUACCUCAUGAAUCGCCUGGCAGGAAAACAAACUGGCUUUGCUCUGGGUAGCACCAUUGAGUCGAAGACUAAAGGUAUUUGGAUGUGGUGUGUACCACAUCCCAACAAAACUGGACAUACUCUGGUGCUUCUUGAUACUGAAGGACUGGGGGAUGUUGACAAGGGAGACUCUACAAAUGAUGCCUGGAUCUUCUGCCUGGCUGUUCUUCUCAGUAGCACUCUGGUCUACAACAGCCGUGGAACUAUCGACAACACAGCAGUAGAAAAACUACACUAUGUCACUGAGAUUGCAGAGCAGAUUAAGAUCAAAUCACCUGAAUCCACAGCAACUGAGGCUGAGGAGGAGGAGGAGGAGGAGGAAGAAGAGGAGGAACAAUCUCAGUUUGUGAAAUUUUUUCCUAAGUUUAUUUGGACAGUGCGUGAUUUUUCACUGGAGCUGGCGAUUGAAAAAAAAGGUUCUGUCACCCCGGAUGAGUACCUGAAUUUUGCCCUGCAGCUAAAAAAAGGUUUUAGUAAGAAGGACACUAACUACAACCUUCCAAGGCAGUGUAUUCGAAACUAUUUUCCAACUCGUAAGUGCUUUGUAUUCCCGUUUCCUGCCUCCCAGGACAAAAUGGUUCAGCUAGAGAACCUGGAUGAAAGAGAAAUAUUUCCGAAAUUUCUGCAUGUUACACAGGAAUUCUGUGACUAUGUCUUUGCAACAAGCAAAGUUAAAACAGUUAAAGGAGUAUACAAAAUCACAGGCAGAAGGUUCGGUCACCUAGUGCAGACCUAUGUGGAGACGAUCUCUAGUGGGAAAGUCCCUUGUCUGGAGAAUGCUGUGGUUGCCAUGGCAAGGAUUGAAAAUGAGGCAGCCGUGCAAGAGGGGCUGAAGCUGUACCAGAGUGAGAUGGAACAGGUAAAGAAGAGAUUUCCUGUCAGUUUGAGUGAAAUUUCUGCUGAACAUAAGAGAAUCAGCUAUAUGGCCACCACUGAGUUUUUGAAGCAUUCCUUUAAAGAUGAAGAAAGGGAAUACUUUAAGAAACACAUGGAGGCAGUAGAGAAGCACUAUGCUGAACUAAGUGUUCAGAACUUAGAAGCAUCAGAACAGAAGUGCCAGCAGAUUCUGCAUGAUCUAUACAGCGAGAUGAGAGAGCAUUUGCAGAAUGGAGUCUUUGCAAAGCCUGGAGGAUAUAAACUCUACUGCACAUACAGAGACAACAUUAUCAUACAGUACCACAGCCAGCCAAACAAGGGAAUCCAGGCUGAGGAUGUGUUGCAGAAGUUUCUAAAUGAGAAAAAUUUCGAGGCAAAUUUAAUUCUUCAGACUGAUGAACAACUGACCGAAGCUCAGAAAAAGAUUCAAGAGGAAAAAGAACAAGCAGCUCUGUUACAGCAGCAGUGUAAAGUAGAACAAGAGCAAAAGAUGGAGACAGAGCGACUGAUGCAGGAGUUAAAAGAGAGCCAUCAACAACGACUACAGCAGCUGGAGAAGAAGUUUGAGGAGGAGAAGCAGGAGCAACAGCAGGAGCUAGACCAAGCACUAGAAAGCAAACUGACCGAACAUAAAGAACUCAUUCAGAAAGGAUUUGAUGAGAGAGCCCAGAUAAUGACCCUGGAGAUUGAGCACCUUAAAGAAGAAAAAGAUAAACUGUCUCAGAGUUUUUAUAAGGAUUAUUUUAUGCCUGGUAUGGAUGUUGCUAAAGAAGUGGUGUUCAUGUAUCUCCAGUAUAGAGCAAUGAAGCAAGGAUUACCCAUGAUAUAAGAAAAUCAGGACUGUCAUUAGACUGUUAUCAGUUAGAACACUAACUAAAAUUAGGCAACAAUUACCUAUUGUAAUAAAUUGGGAAAUAAUGUUAUACAGUAUGUACUGAUAUAUAUUCAGGGACACGGUGGCUUAGUGGUUAGCACGUUCGCCUCACACCUCGAGGGUUGGGGGUUCGAUUCCCGCUUCCGCCUUGUGUGUGUGUGGAGUUUGCAUGUUCUCCCUCGGGGGUUUCUUGCAUGUUCUCACCUCGGGGGUUUCCUCCCCGGUCCAAAGACAUGCAUGGUAGGUUAAUUGGCAUCUCUGGAAAAUUGUCCGUAGUGUGUGAUUGCGUGAGUGAAUGAGAGUGUGUAUGUGUGUGUGUGCGCCCUGUGAUGGGUUGGCACUUCGUCCAGGGUGUAUCCUGCCUUGAUGCCCGAUGACGCCUGAGAUAGGCACAGGCGCCCCGUGACCCGAGGUAGUUCGGAUAAGCAGUAGAAAAUGAAUGAAAUAAUGAAUGAAUGAAGCAAAACCACAACUGACAGCUUGUCUCUGCUUUCAGGCCACUGUAACUUACCUGUGUGUGCAAGGCUAAUGAGAUGUUUUUGAUUCUACAAAAAUUUGCACUUCAUUGUGGAAGAGAGCAUGCUGCAUGUUAUGCAUGAUGCAAUAUUAUUUCUUCAGGAAGCCCAAGUGUAGCUCUCAAUUAAAAAAAAAAUUAUUGCACUCAAAAAGACUGGGCAAGAACAUAAUGAAUAUAUACUUUGUCUUUCCUGAACACACUCUAGUACCCAGGAGUCUCUUCUGCACAGACCCUGGCUUCAAUUCUUCUCUUGUUCUCAUAUGGUUACAUUUUUUGAUGAACUUUGUGUACAAUACUUAUAAGUGGAAUUAUGUUUCCCCACAAUACUUAAGGUCAUUUUUUUAAAAGUCAGUUAUCUCCCUCACACAUCAUUUUCACACCUCCUUCUGCUGAAAACUUUGCUAAACCACAAUUGCCAACUUGUCUCUGCUCAUAGGCCUUUAACAUCGUCACUGCCCUCUGUGUAUCAAAGGCUAAUUAUAUGUGUUUUUUUCCUGCAUAGUUGUUUUUAACACUCAUAAGUAAAUUAUAUAACCAUAAUAGUAACAAAAAUGAAAAUGUAGGUUGUAAGGCAUUUUAUCAGUAUGUCUAGUUAAUGUUAACAUGGUUUUGUUAAAACUUUUCUGUGUACCGGAAACACCAGCAGAAGCUCAACACAGCAGCUAAAGACAUUUCAGUCACAACAAUAACUUCCACUUAUCAAAGUACAAAUGCAACUAUUUUCUUUUAGCAGAUCAAAUGAUCAUGAGAAUUUGUCACAGAGCAGCAGAUGAAAGCAGGACAAAUAAGAUAAGGUACAGAUUCCAACAUUACUGAGUCAUUUACACUCAUUAGAUGAUUUAAACCCUGUGUUUUAACCUUGCUCUACUUGUACUCUUACCUGUUGAACUAUCAUAGUUACUGAGAGUAUUUACACAUCAAACUAAACCCUUCUCAUAACAGAUAUGGAGACAGUGAUCCACCUGAACAGUCAUGAUGAAGUACACACAAUGUCCGAAUCACACAAUAAGAUCAUCACUCAGGACAUUCAGACUGCAGAUGAACAACUUUAUACCCCACCACUCACUCUAUUGAAGACACAAAGAGAACAUUUACUCACAGAGCAUCACAGGAAGUGAACUGAGCUCCAUCCUGUCUCUCUGAUGACUGACUGGCAGAGUGAGCAGAGAGGAACCAUUGAGAGUGUGUUGAUGAACUGCAUCACUGUAUGGCCCGGGAACUGCAGUGCAGCUGACCGCAAGAACCUUCAGAGGAUAGUGAAUGUAGCCGCAAAUAUCAUCGGCGCCCCUCUCCCCUCGAUUGAGGACAUCUUCAUGAAGCAAUGCCUCAGCAGGGCCAACAGCAGGGCGGGGGACCCCACCCAUCCCUCCUAAAACAUCUUUCAGCUCCUACCAUCAGGAAGAAGGUACAGGAGCAUCAGAGCCCGCUCUGCUAUUCUGCGGAACAGUUUCUUCCCCCAAGCUGUGAGAGCCCUGAACUCCAGAACCUCCACUGCCACCCCUGAAAAUACACAGGCCUCCUGUGACGUGAACCCCCUACUGCCACCAGUCACACUCACCUCAGCAUUAGCACACUGGCACAUCAAAUUUAAAUGUUUACAUGCUCAUGGCUACCGGCUGCUGACUUUGAAUGCCUCCUGUUGCACGUGUACAAUAUCAAGGAAGCAUUGUAGACUCUUCAUACUUAUAUUUAUUGCUUGAGUGUAUUUUUUUGUGUAUUUAAUUGUAUUUACUUUGUUUUGUGCUUUGUGUUGUUUUUUGAUGUUUAAUGUCUGUAUGGACGUGGCACCGUUUGACCUAUGAGACACGACAUCUCGUUCCACUGCAUGUCUCAACAUGUAGCGAAAUGAAAAAUAAAGAAACUUGAACUUGAACUUGAUAUGAACUCAGGCAUGUAAAAACAAUGGUUGAGGCAACAUUGGAAUCAUUGAUGAGGACUGUUAGGAGCCCAAACAUAUUAAGUGCUUGGACAAGUUGAUGACCAGAAAUCUUAUACACUCAUGAUGGAGCAUGUGUUGUUAAGUCAAGAAAAUGAUAUACAGGUAAACCUAAGAAAAAGGUAUGCUAUUGGCAGGAAGCUUUUACUAUUGUUUUAGUUUAGACAGAUUAAUUUAGACAGACAAAGUAUUGGUUUGCCAAGAUUAUAUUAGCUUACUAUAGACUAUGAAUU
This is an RNA transcript of Tachysurus vachellii, 4901 nucleotides long. It is a transcript of the gene named guanylate-binding protein 1-like, with no coding region annotated. The transcript is spliced from 12 exons. The record is from RefSeq and is a predicted model, not a curated record. NCBI's taxonomy places the organism in Eukaryota, Metazoa, Chordata, Actinopteri, Siluriformes, Bagridae.